Molecule: small RNA, 55 nt
Filed under: Monodelphis domestica (gray short-tailed opossum)
Lineage: Eukaryota; Metazoa; Chordata; Mammalia; Didelphimorphia; Didelphidae
Source: RNAcentral
GAUACUGGUGGUGGCACUCCUGGCUCCAGGACAGGGUUCGAGUCCCUGCAGUGUC